UACGAAGGGGGCUAGCGUUGCUCGGAUUGACUGGGCGUAAAGGGCGCGUAGGCGGUUCGUACGGUCAGACGUGAAAUUCCUGGGCUCAACCUGGGAAUGGCAUUUGGGACUGCAAGGCUGGAGUGCGGCAGAGGAGACUGGAAUUCCUGGUGUAGCAGUGAAAUGCGUAGAUAUCAGGAGGAACACCGAUGGCGAAGGCAGGUCUCUGGGCUGACACUGACGCUCAUGCACGAAAGCGUGGGGAGCAAACAGG
This 253-nucleotide ribosomal RNA is filed under the name uncultured bacterium. Its description in RNAcentral is "partial 16S ribosomal RNA". It matches the Rfam family "Bacterial small subunit ribosomal RNA", at positions 524 to 776 of the family's 1533-position model. The record is from RNAcentral.